RNAcentral lists this ribosomal RNA (486 nucleotides) under uncultured organism. RNAcentral's name for it is "bacterial SSU rRNA". It matches the Rfam family "Bacterial small subunit ribosomal RNA", at positions 30 to 507 of the family's 1533-position model. The record is from RNAcentral.
AUUGAACGCUGGCGGCAUGCUUUACACAUGCAAGUCGAACGGCAGCAUAGGUGCUUGCACCUGAUGGCGAGUGGCGAACGGGUGAGUAAUGCAUCGGAACGUACCGAGUAGUGGGGGAUAACUGUCCGAAAGGAUGGCUAAUACCGCAUACGCUUUGAGAAGGAAAGCGGGGGAUCUUCGGACCUCGCGCUAUUCGAGCGGCCGAUGUCUGAUUAGCUAGUUGGUGGGGUAAUGGCCCACCAAGGCGACGAUCAGUAGCGGGUCUGAGAGGAUGAUCCGCCACACUGGGACUGAGACACGGCCCAGACUCCUACGGGAGGCAGCAGUGGGGAAUUUUGGACAAUGGGCGCAAGCCUGAUCCAGCCAUGCCGCGUGUAUGAAGAAGGCCUUCGGGUUGUAAAGUACUUUUGUCAGGGAAGAAAAGCUUUAGGUUAAUACCCUAGAGUGAUGACGGUACCUGAAGAAUAAGCACCGGCUAACUACGUG